Molecule: ribosomal RNA, 253 nt
Filed under: uncultured bacterium
Lineage: Bacteria
Description: partial 16S ribosomal RNA
Rfam family: Bacterial small subunit ribosomal RNA
Source: RNAcentral
UACGUAGGGUGCAAGCGUUAAUCGGAAUUACUGGGCGUAAAGCGUGCGCAGGCGGUUUUGUAAGACAGAGGUGAAAUCCCCGGGCUCAACCUGGGAACUGCCUUUGUGACUGCAAGGCUUGAGUGCGGCAGAGGGGGAUGGAAUUCCGCGUGCAGCAGUGAAAUGCGUAGAUAUGCGGAGGAACACCGAUGGCGAAGGCAAUCCCCUGGGCCUGCACUGACGCUCAUGCACGAAAGCGUGGGGAGCAAACAGG